This 75-nucleotide transfer RNA is filed under the name Candidatus Synechococcus calcipolaris G9. RNAcentral describes it as "tRNA-Pro". Lineage: Bacteria; Bacillati; Cyanobacteriota; Cyanophyceae; Synechococcales; Synechococcaceae. The record is from RNAcentral.
UGCCUAGUCUACUUUCUAUGUCUUUAUGGCACUUCGUUCGGGACGAAGGGGCCGCAGGUUCAAAUCCUGUCAUCC